AUUGAACGCUGGCGGCAUGCCUUACACAUGCAAGUCGAACGGUAACAGGUCUUCGGAUGCUGACGAGUGGCGAACGGGUGAGUAAUACAUCGGAACGUGCCCGAUCGUGGGGGAUAACGAGGCGAAAGCUUUGCUAAUACCGCAUACGAUCUACGGAUGAAAGCGGGGGAUCUUCGGACCUCGCGCGGACGGAGCGGCCGAUGGCAGAUUAGGUAGUUGGUGGGAUAAAAGCUUACCAAGCCGACGAUCUGUAGCUGGUCUGAGAGGAUGAUCAGCCACACUGGGACUGAGACACGGCCCAGACUCCUACGGGAGGCAGCAGUGGGGAAUUUUGGACAAUGGGCGAAAGCCUGAUCCGGCCAUGCCGCGUGCAGGAUGAAGGCCUUCGGGUUGUAAACUGCUUUUGUACGGAACGAAAAGCCUCUUUCUAAUAAAGAGGGGUCAUGACGGUACCGUAAGAAUAAGCACCGGCUAACUACGUG
RNAcentral lists this ribosomal RNA (482 nucleotides) under uncultured bacterium. RNAcentral describes it as "partial 16S ribosomal RNA". It matches the Rfam family "Bacterial small subunit ribosomal RNA", at positions 30 to 507 of the family's 1533-position model. The record is from RNAcentral.